UUUUUUUUUUCCUGUGCACAGGCGUGUGAAAGUUCCACGGCCAGGAACUGAACUUGUGCCAUAGCAAUGACAACGCCCAAUCCUUAACCACUAGGCCACCAGGGAAUUCCUACUUUUGCAAAUUUUACAGACAUUUAUGACCUUAGGAACACAAGGCCAGGGUCCUUCCCAGGGCCUGUGCAAUUGCGAGGCCUUGACUGACACAUAAACCUCAUGGUGAGUCCACCCCUAGACCUGGCCCAUGGGAGAUUUGGGAAUUCUGAAGCCAGGCCAGAAGCUGAGUUCAUGUCUCCUACUCCACCCUCACCUCCAUGCCCUGUAGGCAAGCCUUUCACCCAGAUCUUCCAGAGCUUCCAACCUGGAACUUAGUCCCUACUCACAGUACCUUCUGUGUGGCCACAGCCUAACGGCGGGUUUUUCCAGCCAGGAUCGCUGAGGGAUCCUCUGUUCCAUCCAGUCGAAUCCUCCUUUGCCUUCCAGGCUUAGGGGUCCAAGCCCAUAAGCCCCAGGAGGCCUUCUUUGCCUGCCCUUGCCUCCCCAGGCAGUGCCCGCACUGCGCUUGGCACUGAGGUCUUUGGUCAGUUCAGAGUUGUUAUCUGAGUCCCUGCAGUGUUGUCAAUCCAGUGUCACCCAAAUGUGGUCAGUCUAUAUGGACACAUCCUGAGCCCCUCUUCUUGCAGCCAGGCCUGGCAGGAAUGGAGGGUGGGAGACAGAGAAGAGACUCAGACCCAAUCCCAGCCCUCCUAGUCUAGCUCAGUCUGAUGGUCAGUAAAUGGACUGAGUCUUAAAACUUUUGAUUGUAAAUCAACUAUUCUUUAAUUUUUUUUUAAAGUGGAAUUCCCAUUGUGGCUCAGUGGGUUAAGAACCUGACAAGUGUCCAUGAGGAUGCAGGUUCGAUCCCUGGCCUCUCUCAAUAGGCUAAAGAUCCCAUGUUGCUGUAAGCUGCAGGGUAGGUGGCAAAUGUGGCUCAGAUCUGGUGUGGCUGUGGCUGUGGUGUAGGCCAGUAGCUACAGCUCCAAUUCGACCCCUAGUCUGGGAACUUCCAUAUGCCGAAGGAUAUGGCCCUAAAAAGAAAGAAAAAAAAAAGUGCAUUUAGAGAAAAAAAAAAAAAACUUUUAGGCUUAAGAAUAACUUAGAAAUGGACUAGUCGGUGGAGAGUUCCCGUCACGGCGUAGCAGAAACAAAUCCAACUAGGAACCAUGAGGUUGCAGGUUCAAUCCCUGGCCUCGCUCAGUGGGUUAAGGAUCUGGAGUUGCCCCAAGCUGAAGUGCCGGUUGCAAAUGUGGCUCAGAUCUGGCAUGGCCAUGGCAUAGGCUGGGAGCUGCAGCUCUGAUUCAUCCCCUAGCCUAGGAACUUCCAUAUGCCAUGAGCGGGGCCCUAAAAAGAAAAAAAAAAAAAAGGAGGUAAUAGUUUUCAGGGACAGCCGUGCCUGACGUAUAGUGGGUAGUCAGUCAGUGAUAAUUCCCUACACUUACCCAGUGUCUCCCAGCAGAAUGUCUCCCUCUCAAGACCCUCUUUCAGGAGCCAGUUCCAGUCCACAACUUCCAGGGAUGAGGAGAGGACUGGGCAGGUGGAUGAAGUGUAGACAACAGAACAGGAGAAAGGAGUAGGAACCAAAUAAAGGUGCAUAUGCCAAGUAUGGCCAGUAGGUGGCAGAGGCAUCCGUGGAAUGAGCUUUUCCUCCUGCAGAUGCACCUCAAUUUCUCCCAGACCAAGCCGCCUUCAUACAGUGAACACAAGGGUGUGAAUAAGUGUUUGGCCUGGUGGGAGGUGUGUGUACAAAGAAGUGUGUGUGCAUGCCUGUGGUAUGAACGCACCUGUGCAUGGGUAUGUGAAUAAUAUGUAUACAGUGAUUCUGGGUGAGAGAACUGAGUGUCACCAGUGUUGUGAAGGGGUGUGUGAGGAGAGGUUUGUGCUCAGUCAGGUGUGUGUGUGUGUGUGGCCUCAGGGUCAGUGUAUGUCUAUUUGCGAGCAGCUGUGUGGUGCCUGUGGACAGCCCUCCGUGCAGUUCAGCCUGUUACCGUUUUGGGUCUUGAGCCCCUGCAGCCUCCAUCGAAUCCUGGGGCAAAGCACACAGUUGACAUACAAUCCAUACCCCCUUUCAGAGGGUUCUGGAAUCAUUGUGAACCCCCUGGGGGGCUCCCCUGAGUAAGGGGAUACAUUCAAAUGUUAAUAGAAUGGGGAACUAUGGGUGAUUUUUUUCCGCUUCUUUUCAAGCUUAUUCUGUUUCUAUAAUGAGCAUUCUGCAUCAACCAUCAACAUCACUGAAGGGAAAAACCCUUGUUUUUUUUAAUUUUAGGGCCACACCCAUGGCAUAUGGAGGUUCCCAGGCUAGCAGCAACCCCAGAUCUGAGCCACGUCUGCGACCUACCCCACAGCUCACGGCAACGGCGGAUCCUUAACCCACUGAGCGAGGCCAGGGACAGAACUCGAAACCUCAUGGUUCCUAGUCGGAUUCAUUUCCGCUGUGCCACAAUGGGAACUCUCCUUCCACCGAUCUUUCCUGCCCUCUCCCCCAACCCCUGAGGAGGCAGCUGGGUUCCCCUGCAUCUGGGCAGUGUGGUGGGGGCCCAGCAGCCUGCUGAGAGAGAGCUGGUCUUGCCUUGAUAGAAAGAGCCCUGAUAGCAGCUAUGGGACAUCCAAGCAGAGCAAACGGUCAGCACAGAACAAUCAGAGAAGGCUUCCUGGAGGCAGAGGGAGUAGUGUUGACCUGGAAGUGAGAUGGAGUUGGCACCUGCCUGUCCCAUUUCUCUGAGGACUGCCUGACCUUGGGCUGGGCCUCAGAAGCCACCUUCCGGUAGAGGGUCCCCCUCUCUCUAAGGGAGUUUGAGGUGGCAGCCAGGCAAGAUUGAAUCUGGACUCCUAGAAUCCUCCACUGGGAAGGAGCAUGAGAGGUGAUGUGAAUUUUCAGGCAACUGGAAGCUACUGCAGGUGAAAAGAAGAGUGUGUUUCCCCAUCAAUAACAAUGUGCCCUCAUUACAUGCAUAGCUGUUGUCUUGUUGGGUCCUCAAGAGAAUCCUGGGAAGUUAGUUAUAGCGAUCAUUAUCUUAUUUUACAGAAGAGGAAAGUGAUGCCCAGAGUGGUCCUAUCCACACUUUUCUCAGGGCAUACAUAGAGGCGAAUUAAAAAAUCUCUACUAUGGAGUUUCUGUUGUGGGACAAUGGUAAUGAACCCGACUAGUGUCCAUGAGGACAUGGGUUCAAUCCCUGGCCUCGCUCAGUGGGUUAAGGAUCUGGUGGUGCCGUGAGCUGUGGUGUCAUUUUCAGACACAGCUUGGAUCGCGAGUUGCUGUGGCUCUGGUGUAGGCCGGCUGUAGCUCCAAUUCAACCCCUAGCCUGGGAACUUCCAUAUGCCUCAGGAGAGGCCCUAAAAAGACCAAAAACAAAACAAAACAAAACAAAAAACCCUCUACUGUGUGCAUAUUCACAUAAAUGCCUCCGUGUUCUGGCACAUGCUUCCCCCUCCCCUCCAUCUCCCGCUUCCCCCAGCCCCCUGUCAUCCCCUUACCUUCAGAGCUGUUCUUUCCAGCCUCAAGUGGGAGUUGGCUCUGGGCAGAGCUGAGGGGCCUGUGGGAGGGAGGUCUCCUUGACAGGAGCCGCUCUCUGAGUAGAGGGAAGCCACGUGGUCGAAUCCCUUCCCACAAGGGGCAGUCUGGUAGCCCUGCCCACCCCACUGCCCACACAGCCUGCAGCCAGGGGGGCGAGAUCCUGGGCUGGGUGGGGCAUCCACCUGUGCUCAUCACUUUGACACUACAGGCCUCAGGUGGGCAGACCACCCAGGGCUUCAGCUCUGGGGCUCUAAAGGGAGGUGGCCCCAGAGGGGAAGAGGAGCUGCAUGC
This 3838-nucleotide long non-coding RNA is filed under the name Sus scrofa (pig). RNAcentral's name for it is "lncRNA (ENSSSCG00060034981.1)". The record is from RNAcentral. Lineage: Eukaryota; Metazoa; Chordata; Mammalia; Artiodactyla; Suidae.